GGGCAGGAUAGGUAAAGUAGGCCCACCUGCAAGCAGUCGGCCCUUCUUUACUUUCCCGUAUUCGCACCUAGCGGCGCUCAAUGGAAAUCCUGCCCUGCGGAGCC
This is a regulatory RNA element of Kerstersia gyiorum, 104 nucleotides long. It matches the Rfam family "traJ-II RNA". Lineage: Bacteria; Pseudomonadati; Pseudomonadota; Betaproteobacteria; Burkholderiales; Alcaligenaceae. The record is from Rfam.